Acinonyx jubatus (cheetah) is the source of this 15499-nucleotide long non-coding RNA. RefSeq lists it as uncharacterized. The transcript is spliced from 2 exons. The record is from RefSeq and is a predicted model, not a curated record. Lineage: Eukaryota; Metazoa; Chordata; Mammalia; Carnivora; Felidae.
AUACGUCCACAGUGCACAGGGGCUCGCCACCAGGCUGGGCAGACGCCACAAUAGACAUCUUGGGUUUCUUUCGUGUCUCCUCCUGAAAGAACAACAAAGGUCAGGGAUGCCAACAAAGUAGGAACAUGUGGCCAAGCGCAACUUCAGGCAAGAGGCUCCUAAGGCAGGGUGGAUAUGUGAGGGGGCAAGCUCAGCACAGUGGUACCAGGUAGCCUCUGGAAUAGGAGGGCACCACUGCUUUGCACUACACCACAUGAGAAGGAAGGAAGGUCUGAGGAGUGGACCAGAUAGGGGCUGGCUGGGUCUCCCUGGAUGCCAUCUCCGAGAACUGUGUGCUGGUGCUUCCCUGGGAAGCAGACCACACACCCAGAAGUGAAGGGCCAAGGAAGUUACAGCCACCAGGGACAAUCACGUAGGUGGUUCUCUCUCCCCAUCCCAACUUGAGGGCAGGUUCUCUCUCCCCGCCCCAACUUGAGGUAUCUCCUGGACCAGAAAGGCCAAACAUACAACAGAUUCUCAUUCCCCACCUCCCUCUCCCCGGGGUUUUAUAUAGGCCUCCAGGCAAAUACCACAGCUUCACAAGGUCCUAGCCUAGAAGACCCUCAGGCAAGUGGUUUUAGGAAGCUUCAUCGGGACUGAGCCUUACCCAGGUUCAAUGUUGUGUGAACCAUGCUCCUCCCUCACAGAAAUGACAAGGACCCAAAGAAGAGGCGGCCCAGGAUGGCAGUCUGUGUCCCACAAGACCCUGAGAAUGGGAGGCCUGGCUGGUAUAACGUCCCUGCCUUCAAACUGAGUACUGAGUGGAAAUACCCAGAAGACAGGUCCUUCACAACCACAGGCCAGGGCUGAGAGUUCUAUAAUGUAACUAAAAAGUGAAUUGAUCUGAUGCAAAUGUCAUGAAUGCUGAAACGCAAGGAAAAGCACAUCUACCCUAGAAGUGUUGAGGCUGACUUCCCUCCCACAGCUGCCAACGUGGCUGUGCUAGGUGCCCCUCCCCUCCCUUGAAGGCAAGAGGAUGAGGGUGCGGAGGGGCCUUUGGUGCUGGCCGGGCCUGCACACUCACCCUCUCCUCAGCCAGCCUCUUCAUCUCCUCCUGUAGUUUGCUCAGGAUGUGCAGGUUUGGCUUGUUCUUCUUGGCAUACUGCUGCAGCUCAAUCACACUUUUGUCCGAGGUCUCCUGGGGAGCACAGCACCUUGCUCUCAGGACUGCCUGGGGCAGGCCCCACAGACAUAUUACGGCCAGCAGCCAGAGCUGCACUCCCAACCCACACCUGGCAGCUGACACAGCCACAGAGAACGCAGACCAGUCCCAGUCCACAGCUGCCCAGCUCACUUUCUGACCAUACUACCCCCACUUCUGCCUCACCCUGAGCAGGCAGAAGCCACAGCCUCUUCCCUUCAUGGGGCAAAGGCAUCCUGGCACCCAGCUGCCUCCACUCCUACCAUCGGCUGGGCACUCGUACUGCCCAGACCCUCAGAGUGGAACGAUCAGAGUACGGCCUCCACCAGCAGGGACAGCAUGCUGCCCGAUGGGAUAAACCCUGGCACUGGGGCCCAGCUGGGAGCCCAUCAGCCCUAGACACUGCGCUCUCUGCAUAUCUGCAAACCCUCCAACUUUGAGAACAGGAUCAAGCUGUCCUGAGGCCCUUCCUGUCUGAAAAGGCCAUCUCUGAGGCCGCCUGCCGUGCCUUCGAGUGUCAGACUCCACCUGUCCUCCAAAAGAUACAGGCUGAGGCUGUGCCUAGACUGGACGCUCAUCCUCCAACUUAGGGAGAGUUCCCACUCACAGGCCAAAGCAGGCUUUUCUCAAUCUUAGCCCAAACAAGAUACAGCACAAAAGUAAAGGCACAUGAAGGCAGAAAUCAGCCUCAUCUGCAGUCAUUGGAGUUUUCUCAGCAACACAUAUCUGGAGGUUCCUCUCUAAGCACCCUGGGGGCCCAGUGUCACCUCCUUAGAUGCCACAUGGCCACCCCUCCCCUCACUGGGAUGCAGGUAACCCAGACUAUUUCUGGAAACAUCAGGGUAAAAAUAAACGUAAACACCUCCCAGGACUUCCCUCCACCCCACAAAACAUACAAACCUAAGGGUACUGGUUUAAAUCUCUUGAUCUCGGCAAAACAUCAGAAACUAAACACAUGACGUGCACAGGUGUUUAGUUAAAAAAAACUGGUGUUCAUAAGCAGGAAGAGGUGGCCUGCAUCUCUUACUCUCCCUUAAGCUUCUAGGGGUCCUCAAAUUAAUCCAAGGGCUUGCAGUUCCGGUGUGGGGGAAGGGGAGACACCAGGUCUCAGCUCAGAAGCUUCCUCUCCACUGGGGCUGGCAGCACUCACCACCUGUACCUCCUGCUGGGCAGGCUCACCCCACAUAGCCAGAGCCAGGCCUAGGCUUCUCAGGGAGGGAGACACAGCAUGAAUGACCACCUCCCACCCCCAAGGUCACAGACAUGGCCCAGCAGAGCGCCUGAGAAGCAGCCUUGAACAAGAGCAGAGCUGCCCAACACUAUCUCCGGUGACAGCAGGACCUCAAACAGGUGUGCCACGGUGGAGGGAGGAUGAUAAGCACAGAGGCUGCCCUAGGUCCUGGGGAGGAGCCUGGUUACCUGCUUGACCAUCUUGCUGCUUUCGCGACCAUACAUGCGCAAUAAAGACCCCCAAUUCUUGACAUGUGGAUGCAGCAGCUGAAGGAUUUUCUGAGAGGCUAACUGUUUUCCAACUCUCUUAUUCUUACCUGUGAGGAAGGAAGAGGAAAUGUAGAGAGGGAGUCACUAGAACAUUCAGCUGUCAACAUGGCCACCUUGCCUAGAGAGGAGACACACCUGCCAUUCCCCCACCCAGCAAACGGCAUGUUCUACAGGAGGGGGUACAGACGUCUUCCACCACUGCAGUGGGCACUGGAGUCUUACAAAGCUGAGACCAGGACCCACCCUAACCCCAUUUAGCAGAACAGCUCCCUCAAAGGCUUCAGAAAAUCAGAAUGGGCCCAAGGUCAUAACUUACAAGGCCUCCCUCCCACCACACCCUACACUUCCAGAGAUACAGACAAGCAAAACAAGUACCAUGAAGCACAUAGCCCAAGGCUCCUUGGGGACAGGCACAGGGGAGGGACGCUCUGCCAGAAAGCCCAGAGGAGUUUCCAGAGGGUGUAUGAACUUUGAAAGAGGAGUUUCUAUGUAUGCAGAGGGAAGGUGGGGCCAGGGAGCAGAGUGGGUCUGAGUGCCAGGAGAUGCCUAUGGCCAGACAGACCAAGGUGGCCACACUUCCCAGAUAGGGAGGUCAAUGGUGCCAGCACUCCUUCUAUGCCACACCUGCCUGCUCCAGAAGGUGUCUCAGUGAGGACUAAUAUCUGCUGAAUCACAGGGGACACCCAGGUCUGUGAGUUCUGUGAUUUUCCCAAGGCCAACUUGUGUGUUACUUUCUAAUUUACAUAGCACUGGUUUUGUGUUUAUAGUAGUCAUACAAAGUUUUCUUUUAAAAUAAAGUUGUUUUCAGAAGUGGUUACUUUAGGGGUGCCUGGAUGGCUCAGUCAAUUAAGCAUCUGACUCUUGAUUUCAGUUCAGGUCACGACCUCAGUGUGUGAGUUUGAGCCCCACGUCAGAUUCUGCACUGACAGUGCAAAGCCUGCUUGGGAUUCUCUGUCUCCCUCUUUCUCUGCCCUUCCCCCCACUCAUACAUGGCACACUCUCUCAAAAAUAAACAUUAAAAGAUAAGAUAAGAUAAAAUAAAAUGUAGUUAUUUCAAAAACCAAAUUCAGUGGGGCGCCUGGGUGGCUCAGUCAGUUAAGCAUCCACUGGCUCAGGUCACGAUCUCAUGGUUUGUGAGUUCGAGUCCUGGAUCAGGCUCUAUGUUGACAGCUAGCUCAGAGCCUGGAGCCUGUCUUCAGAUUCUGUGUCUCCCUCUGUCUCUCUGUCCCUCCCCUGCUCACACACUCUCUCUCUCUCUCAAAAAUAAACAUAAAAAAAAUUUUUUUAAAUAAAGAAGUUAAAAAUAAAUAACCAACCAAAUUUGGUAAAUACUGCAGGUGGUGUACACAAAGACCAGAAAUGGGGCAGGCAUAUCACCCAGCACAGGGACACAGAGUAGGGCAGGGCAAGGGCUCUGCUGCCAUUCUAGGACAUCCCUCCUCCUGCCACAGGGACCAUGGGCUGGAUGGGGCACUAGUGGCAGGGAGGGGGAAAACAUGGCCUAGCCAAAGUGACCAGCCCAAGCCCAGGAACUAGGAGGAUAGGGUUGGUACAGGCAGGACUACCACAGUCCCACCUCAGAGUGACAGGCUUUCAGACAGAGGUCGAUAGAUGCCAGUGGACACGGAGGACUGCGGGUGGUCAGCACACAAGGCAGGAGCUUGGGAGUGAUGCCAGGGUAGUGGCCUGAGACUAAGCCCCAGAGGCUCAGGGCUCCCAGACAGGCCACAUGGCAGUGUGCAACCUCCCCAGUGGUCAAGGGAAAUUGCAGUGGGGUGACAGGGAGGAGGGAGGCAGUCCUUACACCAGCCGCGCACUGUGUGUUUGCCGCACGCCAUGACAUAUUCACUCUUCUGGUUUUUACCAGGAACCACUUCAAACUUGAUGGAUGUAUCACCCAUUCCAUGGUUUCUUAAAGGAAAAACAUAGACAACCAGUGCCAUCAGCUGAGGACGAAGAAAUGACAGCUUCAGGAUAGGCUUUAAAGGCUCAAUGAAGACAAUGCCAACCCUUUCCCCAAACCGCACAUCUCAGCUGAAAAGGAGGGGAUUCUCCUGAUCCGAUCUCACAGGCUCUGACUGACCAGCAGGCACAGGGGCUCCUGUGCACACAGGGAAUACUUGCAAUGGCUUGGCCUUUAGCAUCACCUCUUGAACCAGGAUAAACAGCUAGUAAAGACAUUGGGCACCAAAAGAAAAGCCCCCACACAACCCUACUCAGAAGGGGAAGCACCCGCCCUACCUUUUAAGGCACUCGUGAAGGAUCUGAUAGGGAGACAACAGUCCGGCCUUGCUGGUCAGCUCGUAGACCCGUGAGUCCUCGAUACUGAUGUGGUUAAAAUACUACAAAACAAAGCAGCCACUCCUAAGUGCUGGACCGAGCCUGCUGGCCUCACGGAGCUGUUCCCCAUGCUGUCUGCUUCCCCCAGAAGCUUCCUGUCAUCUUUACUGCCUUGAAGAGCACAUUGCGCCCCCACCUCAUUGUCCAGCGGCCCCUCUGAGACAGGACAAGCAGUGCUGUGCUAGGUUGGAGAGUAUGCUGCAACGGGGUGGCAAAGCCUGGUGCUGCCUGGGAGCCUUUUCUGAAUCUGAGUCUGAUCAAUUAGAAAUCUAAAGACAGACAACCUUAGAAAAAAAUUUUGAAGAUCAUCAUAAAUGAGAUUAUAGAAGACAAAAGGUAAAUCAGACAAAAGAGAUGCACUCUAAAAAGGCCAAGCUCUCUGAAGGCUGUGAAGGGCCUGGCCUGGCUCCUGUUUCAAACACAGAGUCAUCCUGUCCUAGCUCUGAGACCAACUGCUAUGCCCAGAGAACAGAACAACUAAAGAGUUAAUGGGAAACCACUUAACCAGUUGAGGGGAAAAAAGAGAAGUUCUGCACAACAGUGGCAGGCAGCAGCCAGGAGGCAGCGUUGACCCCAACCAGACUUGGGCCUCUGCUGAGCCGCCCUCUGUGAACGGAGGAUGUGGCCUAGUUCACUCAGCACAGCCCACCUCCCUGGUGGGGACUGCUGGGCUUCUGGGGUUGCCAUAGCAAGGUACCACCAAGUGGGUGGCUUAUUUAUUUUUUCACAAUUCUGGAGGCCAGAAGUCCCAAAGCAAGGUGUCAGCAGGCCAUAUUCCCUUUGAAACCUCUAUGAGAGAUUCUUUCUGGACCUUCCCAGGUUUUGGCAGCACCAAGCUUUCUUUAGCAUCACUCCCAACUCCACCCAGCCCUCUCUCCACUUCCCACCCUCUUCUUACAAGAACAUAACACUUAUAAGAACACUACUCUGGGCAGGGAGGCAGGGGUUCCUCUCUCAGCGGACUGUGACUGAGUCAAGGAAAGCAAGGUGCCAUUUCUAAAGGGAAUUGCUGAUUCUGGUGAGCUAGAAAUCUCCCUACUCUCAUUUGGCUACAGUUUCCAACAGGUCCCCACAAGAUACCUCCACUUACGAGCAUCUGCAUCAGCAUGGAUCAGUUUCCAGGGAAAGUUAUUCACCAAGACAUCAGGCCCUAGACCUUAGUGGCUAGCCAGGCAGCCGACCCAUCCAUGGUGGCUGGCUCUCUCAUUUCAGCCUUUUGAUAACCCAGUCUCUAACCAGCAGUCGGCACCUGGGCUGUGGACCUGUGGUCAGACUGAGCAAGACCACCUGUGUACCCACGAUCCUCCCUGACAGAGCCGAGGCAGACAUACACAUGGCAGAAGAACACACACUAAGAAGCCCAAAGAUAUCCAACAGACGCUGGCAAAGGCCCAUACCACAAUUACCUGCACCAAGAGCCACAGUCACAUGUUGCAGGUUAACCUGCAAGGAGCAUAUAGAGACUAUAGUACAAAGGGCAGAAGUGGCCCAAUGACAACAGUACAGAAGAAGUUUGGAUCACUGGUGCCCAACAGAUACUGAAAGACCCUGAGAGAGCACCACAGACAGACCAGCACCCAUAAACCCAACAAUUUAAAUAAAAUGGACCAAUUCCUUGAAAGGUGCAAAUUACCCAAACUGCUCUAUUCAAGAAGUUGAACUUGUAGUUAAAAGGUCCCUUCAAAGAAAACUCCACACUCAGAUCGUUUCAUUGGCAACAACUACCAAAUAUUUAAGAAAAAAAAAAUGAUACCAAUUCUAGACAAUCUUUCAAAACACCACAAGAGGAGGGACAAUUGCCAAUUCAUUUUAUGAUGUUAGCAGUACCCUUAUUAACACCAAAGAGAACUACAAACUAAUAAUCCUCAUAAACACAGGUGUAAAAAUCCUACAUAGAGUAUUAGCAAUUUGUAACCAUUAACACAUAAAAACAAAUCUAUGCCAUGCCCAAGAAAGGACUUAGCCCAGGAAUGCGUUAAAAAAAAAAAAAAAAAAAAAAAAUCAAUCAACAUAAUACAUUAUAUCAACAAAUUAAGGAGGAAAAAGUCUGUAAUAUCAAUUGGUAAGGAAUAGAAGAAUCCUUCCUCAACCUGAUAGAGGGCAUCAACAAACAACUAACACCUAACAUCAUAUUCAAUGGUCAGAGACUGUAUGCUUCACCCCAAGAUCAGGAACAAGACAAGGAUGUCCACUCUCCCCACUGCUACUCAACAUGUAAUGGAGCUUCUAGUCAGAGUAGUAAGGCAAGAAAAAGAAACAAAAGGCAUCUAGAUUGGAAAGGAAGAAAUCAAACCAUCACAGUCAACCUGGUCUGUACACAGAAAUCCCAAAGAAAUCUACAGAAAAACUACUGGAACUAAUAAAGCAGUUCAGCAAAGCCACAAGACAUACGAUCAAUAUACGACAGUAAAUGAGAUUGCUAUACACUAGCAAUCAACAGAACUGAAACUGAAGUGCUACUCACAACAGCUCCAAAACACAUGUGAAAUACUCAAGUCCAAAUCUAGUAAAACAUGUGAAAGAUCUGCAUACUAAAAAUGACCAAACACUAAUAAAAGACAUCAAAGACUUCAAUAAAUGGAGAGAUACACUGGGUUUGUGAACUGAAAGACUCAAUACUGUUAGGAAGUCCAUUCUCUCCAAAUUUAUCUACAGAUGUAACACAAUUCCAAUCAAAAUCUCAACAGAACUUUUUGUACUAACAUACUGUUUCUAUACGGAAGGGAAAAGUAGCUGGAGUAACCAAAAAGUGCUUUUGAAAAAGAACAAAGUUUGAGGGUUCGCACGGAUUCCAAGAAUUCAUGUCAUCAAGAAGGUAUGGCAUUGGUGAAAGGUCACACAGAUCAAGGAGACAGAGUACAGAGAUAGACCCCCACACACAUGCUCAUCUGGCUCGACAGACAUGCAAAGGCACCCAGUUGGACAUAUACUUAUCAUACAGCCCAGCAAGGCCAUCUUGGGUGCUUAGCUACACUCACGUGGAAAACCGGAGAGCCUCACAGCAGCCAAAUGCUAAUCACCCAAAAAUGGAAAUGCACUCAACACCCCUCAAGUGAGAAGAACAUACUAGGCACUGCCCUGCAAUAGGCACACUCAGCAGCAAAAAUUACCCAACCAUCGACACCAGCACCAACACAGAUGAUUCUCAAGUGCAUCACUGAGUUGGAGCUUGGUUCUAAGGCUACCUCCCCUGUGACUCCACUGAUAAGACAUUUGGGAAUUGGCUAACCUACAGAGAUAGCUCAGUGACUACCAGGGUAAAAAGAAAGUUUUGACUACAAAGGGGCACAAGGGGCAGUUUAAGAAAACUGGGAGGGGGAGAACAUUUGAAAAUGUCUUGAUUGUGCUGUUGGUUAUAUGACAAAACUACACGUUUCAAAAUUCACAGAAGUGUACCAAAAAGUGCAUUUACCACUCUAUAAUUUUUUUAAAUUUUUUGAGAAAGUGAGCAACUGUGAACACACACGAGCAGGGGAGGGACACAGGGAGAGGGAGAGAGAGAAUCCCAAGUAGGCUCCACACUAUCAGUAUUGAGCCUGAUGGAGGGCUCAAUCUCAUGACCUGAGCCAAAAUUAAGAGUCGGACACUUAACCAAUCGAGCCACCUAAGUGCCCUGAACUCUCUAUUAAAACCUAAAUUGGUCGGGGGCGGGGGAAGGGAACCAAAAAAAACCAAGUCACUAAUGCCUAAAUUCUAGAACAAGCAUGAACCAACCACAACCCACAGCUACCUAAAAAGCUAUAAAAUACUAAGAAGAAAUCACCCCAGGUCUUGUGAAAAGGUUCAGUACCAGUUCUGCUCAUCUGUUAAUCAACACCAAACAUGCUAUGCCCUGAGCCUCUGCUUCCAUGGCAAUUCUAGAAUUCUGGAUAUUCUAUAUCCACACCACCAUUGCAUGUGGACUUUGUGCCACUGUACCUCAAGGACAGCAGUGCAUAGCGAGAGCUCCCAAAGAACCAGGGCCUGCCCAGCCAACCUUGGCAUCCUGCCCCCACAGCUGGAACUCUGGAGCCACACCUCCUCCACAAGGGCACCACCACCCACCCACCAAGCUACUGACAAGGAUGUGACAGAAACACUGUCACAAUUUUUCAGGAGCAAGACAGCAAUUCCUAUCAGUCAUGAUUGUGCUGCUCUAGUACCUUCAACCUGACAGAAAAGCUACUUUCUUCUCUGAAAAAUUUUAAAAUGGGAAAUAAGUACACACAUAUACAAUUAAAUUCUAAGUGUGAAGAAAAACCUCUCCAGAGGAUGAGGACAUUUUUGGUCAUCAGACACAUAUCUGGUCCUUGUAUCCAGUUCAGGGAGCGCCUAAAACUUUAGAAUUUCCUAAUAGGAGUAUCUUUUGUUAUUCAAAGGAAUCCCUCUGGACCUCAUCUGAGUUUAUGCUAAUUAGGCAUGGUGGGGGGCAGAGCCUAGACAGCUUCAUGAGGGGGCUGGUCACCAGAAAGACCAACCAUGAUUAAGCACCUCUUCAUCUGGCUGUCCAUUUGUAUUCCUAAUAAUAAACCAGUAAACGUAAGGAGUUUCCCUGAGUUCUGAGAGCAAAUUCUAAAAAAGUUCUCAUUCAAGCAAAUUAAUGAACCCAAGGGAAGUCACGGAAACCCCUGAAUCUGUAGUUGGCUGGUCAAUGUGGGUGGCCUGCGCACCCCAUUUGUGGCUGGAAUGUGAAGUGUGGGCAGUCUUUUGGAACUGAGCCAACUCCAUGUAAAUAGUGUAAGAACUGAGCAAAGUUGCAGACACCUAGCUGGUGUCAGAGAAUUGGAGAACCAACAUGAAAAAGUCCCUUGUGUGUACAAGGGAACUUUUAUACCUGGGAUUUCCGAGCUGCCCACAUAGCCUCCUCUACCUGGGAAGACCUCCUCUCUCAAGCUUGCCUUUUCUUUUUUUUUUUUAAUUUUUUAAUGUUUAUUUAUUUUUUAGAGAGAGAGACAGAGUGUGAGUGGGGUAGGAGCAGAGAUAGAGAGGGAGACCUAGAAUCCGAAACAGGCUCCAGGCUCCGAUCUGUCAGUACAGAGCCUGCUGUGGGGCCAGAACUCGGGACCAGCGAGAUCAUGACCUAGGCUGAAGUUGGACACCCAACCAACUGAGCCACCCAGGCACCCCUCUCAGGCUACUUUCUGAUGUUAUUUCUGGAAAGAUCCCUCACUUUCCAGAAGAGCCCCAGAGUACAUGGCCAGAUCCUGAAUCUUCCUACUAUCCAGCACAACCUGAGGCACAAAUUCCAGAAACCUGCAGUCUCUGUCACAGCAGAUGCCUCACUAGAGGUGCUGAUGUAAAAGGCUCCAGGGACAAGGGUGCAGCCACAAUGACCUUACAGACUGUACAGGGCAGGAGGAAAGGUGGAAAAUGAAAGAACUGAGCACAAAGACUGCCAGCUGGUCAUCAUCAAAACCAUGCACUCUAGAGAAGAGGUAACCACCAGUCUCUGACCACCAAGCAUGAGGUAGAGACAGGGUUGACAUCACAGUCUGGGGCAAGCUUGUAGCCCUCCAAGAGUGUAUACCACCAGACAGCCACAUAUGAGGCCACAUGCAGGUGGUGGGACUGCAAAAAGCAGCUGGGACAGAGCAGGUAACUGGAGCGACAGACCACUCUUCAACACACAAGGCUGGGAGAGCCAUGGAACACCCCUGGGUCCCUAAGCUGGCCAGAAUGAAACUGGGAGGUCCCUGCUUAGGGAACUACAAUGGUGCCAAAUACAAAAGUGAACUAAAGCCAACAGUAAGCACAGAGACUUUCAGAUUAAAAACUGGACUGAAAUGCUAAUUCAUUCAGUUAAUAACCAACCAAGCCAGAUGCUGGUAUCUUAGAGGCCACAACACUAAAUGGAGACCAUCUUGGAUCUUAUCUUGAAACCAGGUGUUCCUAACACUUGCUGUACUAACCCUGGAGAAUUUUCCAUUAUCUCAACAUGUCAAAAAUUUCUUAAAUCAACUAUAAUUUACUGAGUUACUUUAAACUUUACCACAAUAGCCAUAGGCAGUGGGGCAUGGGUGCUGCAUGCUUAGACAGGUAAGACACACAUCCCCACUGCAUUGGGCAACAGCAGAGGCUACUGAGAUGAGCUGCUAUGACAAAGCAAAGCUCCAUCUUCCAAAAAGGCUGCUGGAGCCGCACAUCCCCUGCUUGCCUAGGCCAAGCUGACUCCCAGCACCAGAACCAUAGCUACCCCUUCCAGUUUCUGCUACCCCGUAUCAGAGAAUGGUGGUGUGCAACCUAUAUAGCCCAUGCAUCAUCAACUGCAACAACCAAUCCUAAGGGCCUUGGCAGGCUAUGGGUAGAGGUGUAGGUAACAAGUUCUCCAACAUGCCUUGGAAGCCUCCCUGAACAACCACUGUUCCAUAGUUAGGUUAUUGAGAAAUAAAGUUGAAAAUGUGAUUUUUCCUGGAGGAGCUAGCCUUCUUGAGAUUUUGUUUGCUGAGUGGGCUCUGUGAUCUGUCUAUGGCCCAUCUAUGACAAUAAAGCACAAAAAAUAGACACCCGAGUGCAAUUUAAACUGCCAUGGGCACUUUACCAUAUUUUAGAAUAGUCUCAGUCUAAAAAGAUUGGAAAAAAUGUUUAGUUUUUUUAACGUCAAUUUAUUUUCGAGAGAGUGUGCACGCAUACGAGUAGGGGAGGGGCAGAGAGAAAAGACAGAGGAUCAGAAAAAGGCUCCUCGCUGAUAGGAGAGCCCAAUGUGGGGCUUGAAACCAUGAGAUCAUGACUUGAGCUGAAGUCAGACUUAACCAACUGAGUCACCCAGGUGAAUACUGUUUUAUAUUUUGUCUUUUUUGUUGUUGAAAAAAAGUUUUAAACGCAGCCUAUACCAGUUCUAGGGUGACAGAAUAAAAAAACCUCCAAAUUUUGCUCCUCCACAGGAUCAACAAGAACACUGACUAAAACUGUCAAAAUCAACUUUUUCAGAAUUCUGGAAAUUAAAGACAACAAUCUGGGGAGCAUUUAUUCAAGAAAAAAAUGGCUGAAUUUUGCUAAGAACAAUGAGCUUUGUAGCAUUUUAUUUAUAAAAUUUGGCCCAUUCCUGUCUUCUCUUCCCAGCUCUGUGGUAGCCUUGGGAACCAGCAAGGCUGGUUCACUGAAGAAGGCAAACUGGUUCCCCAACACCCCAAGCCCAGAGAACCACUGCUGUCUGGUCCGUGUGGCAGCUCUACAGAAAAGCUCAUUGUAAAACUUGCCUUUAUGCGACCCAACUCAGAGUUCAUUCGGGGAAAACAGCCCAAUUCCCCAGGAAAUCUAUCAAAAAUAAUCAGUGGCAACUGUUUCAUACUGCAGUUGCCUGAGGCUGGGAUACCAGCUGGCAAGCAAGAGGCAGGUCAGAAAACAUAAAAGGAAAAAGCUAGAGAAUGAGAUGCCCUUAAGAGGCUUUGAAAAGCUCCAACUUGUCUGGAGAUCUAGGUGGCCACUUGCAUGCCCAGGAAAGACCUAGGAAGGCCCAAAUCUCCUGAUUGACUCAGAAGCUCUGUGCAAGUGGGAAGGAAGUAAAGGCUAAGGCACAAUGUCAACUACUAGAGCAUUAAAGGUGACCCCAACACGCAUAAAGAGGCUGGGAGACUUACUGAUUUAGGUCAGGAAAUCUCUGACUUGGAUUUCACAAAAUAGUCUAGGAAAGUCACACUAUUAUGGGUUGAAUUCUGUCCACCCACAUAUUGAUAGGCUGAAAUCCUAACUUCCAGUACCUCAUUAUAUAACCUUUUUUGCAGAUAAGGUCCUUACAGACAUAAUCAAGUUAAAAUGAGGUCAUUAGGGUGGGCCCUAAUCCAAUAUGACUACUGUCCCUAUAAACAGAUUCAGAAACAAACACACAGUACAAGGAGAAGGACUGUUAUCAGUUAUCUCCAACUGUUAUCUCCAAACAGAGAGAGGCCUGAAAGAGAUCUUUCUCUCCUAGCCUUCAGAAGAAACCAACCUUGCUGACACCUUGAGUUUAGAUGUCCAGUCUCCAGAGCUGUGAGGCAAGAAAUAUGUCCUUGGGAUGUCUGGGUGGUUCAGUCGGUUAAGGGUCUGACUUCAGUUCAGGGCAUGAUCUUGUGGUUAGUGGGUUUGAGUACUGCAUCAGGCUCUGUGCUAACAGUUCAGAGCGUGUAGCCUGCUUCAGACUCUAUGUCUCCCCCUCUCUCUCUGCCCCUCCCCUGCUUGUGCUCUCUCAAAAAUGAUAAAUAUUUUUUUAAAAAAAUUAUCCUCUAACUGGUAAUCUUGAUAUCCACAGUUGCCACAUUAUUUAAAAUGCCCAGGUUUAACGAGACAUGAACUAAAACACAAAUGUAUAUGCCGUACAAGAUGAAGAAAAGUAGUCAAUACAAACCAUCCUUAAGGAGGGGCACCUGGGUGGCUUGGUCAGUUAAGGGUCCAACUCCUGAUUUUGGCUCAGGUCAUGAUCUCACAGUUCGUGGGAUCGAGCCCCACAUCAGGCUCUGCGCUGACAGCUUGGAGCCUGCUUGGGAUUCUCUCCUUCUCUCUCUGCCCCUCCCCCACUCAAGUGCUCAUGCAUAUGCUUGCACACUCUCUCAAGAUAAACAUUAAAAAAUAAAUAAAAUACACCAGCUAUAAUAUGCUCAAAAAACUAAAACAAACAACCACAUCUAAGAAUUAAAGGAAAGCAUAAGAACAGUAUCUCACCAGACUAUCAAUUAAGACAAAGAAAAUAAGUAAAUAAAUAACAGUGCCCCAUAGACCUGUGGGAUACCAUGAGUGUACUAGGUUACCUAUAAUGGGAUUCCCAGAAAAAGAGGAUACUAAAGGGCAAAAAAAAUUAUGAGAAAAUAAAGGCUGAAACUUCUUAAAGAUGGAAAACAUUACGUAUCCAAGAAGCUCAACAAAUUCCAAAAAGAAUAAACUAAAGAAAUCUAUACCUACACAUUUCUGUCAAAGGCCAAAGACAAAAUCUGAAAACAGUACGAGAAACUCAUCAAUAACAUGAUUCUCAGUAAGAUUAACAGCCAAUUUCUCAUUCCUUAUAGAGGCCAGAAGGCAGACAGAUCACCACUAUGAAGAAAAACAAUGUCAACUAAGAAUUCUAUAUGCAGAGGUGCCUGGGUGGCUCAGUGAGUUAAGCGUCCAACUCUUGAUUUUGGCUCAGGUCAUGAUCUCACGGUUGUUAACUUUGAGCCCCGCACAGGGCUCUGCACUGAGUGUGGAGCCUGCUUGGGAUUCUUGCUCUCUCUCCCUCUCUCUUUGCCCCUCCCUGGUUCUCUCUCAAAGUAAAUAAAUAAACUGAAAAAAAAUUCUAUACCCAGCCAGCAAAACUAUGCUUCAAAAAGAGAAUCAUUAAGGGACACCUGGGUGGCUCAGUCAGUUAAGCGUCCAGCUGCAGCUCAGGUCAUGAUCUUAUGGUUCAUGGGUUUGAGCACCCACAUCAGGCUCUGUCCCGACAGCUCAGAGCCUGGCACCUGCUUCAGAUUCUGUCUCCCCCUCUCUCUCUGCCCCUCACCCACUCAUACUCUCUCUCUCUCUCAAAAAAUAACCAUUAAAAAAAAAUUUUUUUUUAAAGGGAAUUGUUAAGACAUUCUCAGAUAAACAAAAAUUGAGAGAAUCCACAGGUAAUAGAACUGCCCUCCAAGAAAUACUGAAGAGCCUUCAGGCCAAAAUAAAAGGACACUGUAGACCAUAAACAAAUUGAGGACAUUACAAAAAAUAAAGCUAACUACGGUAAAUAAAAGACAAUAUAAACAUACAUUGUUUCUAAUUCUGUUUUUCCUUUCUGAAUUAAAGGACAACUAUAUAGAGGCGUCUGGGUGGCUCAGUUGACUCAGAGUCCAAUUUUGACUUAGGCCAUGAUCUCACAACUUGUCAGUUCAAGCCCAACAUCAGGUUCUGCCUGAAGCCUGCUUUGGAUUCUGUGUCUCCCUCUCUCUCCCCCUCCCCCGUUAGCAGUCUGUCUCUGUCUAUCAAAAAUAAACCAACAUUGGGGCGCCUGGGUGGCUCAGUCGGUUAAGGGUCCGACUUCAGCUCAGGUCACGAUCUCGCGGUCCGUGAGUUUGAGCCCCGCGUUGGGCUCUGGGCUGAUGGCUCAGAGCCUGGAGCCUGCUUCCAAUUCUGUGUCUCCCUCUCUCUCUGCCCCUCCCCCAUUCAUGCUCUGUCUCUGUCUCAAAAAUAAACAUUAAAAAAAAAAGAGAAAAAAAAGAGAAAAGAAAAAAAUAAACCAACAUUAAAAAAAAUAGAUUUAGGGGCGCCUGGGUGGCUCCAUCGGUUAAGCAUCCAACUUCAGCUCACGGCAUGAUCUCACGGUUCGUGGGUUCGAGCCCUGUGUCAGGUUCUGUGCUGGCAGCUCAGAGCCCGGAGCCUACUUCGGAUUCUGUGUCUCCCUCUCUCUCUGACCCUCCCUUACUCAUGGUCUGUCUCUCUCAAAAAUAAACAUUAAAAAAAAAAAAAAAAGAUUUAAAGACAACUACGUAAAACAAUAAUUAUAAAUCCAUGUUUGUGGACACACAACAUACAGAGAGGUAAUUUGUGACAACAUAACCAUAAAGGUGAUGGUAAAUA